GAUGAACGCUGGCGGCGUGCCUAAUACAUGCAAGUCGAGCGAACGGACGAGAAGCUUGCUUUUCUGAUGUUAGCGGCGGACGGGUGAGUAACACGUGGAUAACCUACCUAUAAGACUGGGAUAACUUCGGGAAACCGGGGCUAAUACCGGAUAAUAUUUUGAACCGCAUGGUUCAAAAGUGAAAGACGGUCUUGCUGUCACUUAUAGAUGGAUCCGCGCUGCAUUAGCUAGUUGGUAAGGUAACGGCUUACCAAGGCAACGAUGCAUAGCCGACCUGAGAGGGUGAUCGGCCACACUGGAACUGAGACACGGUCCAGACUCCUACGGGAGGCAGCAGUAGGGAAUCUUCCGCAAUGGGCGAAAGCCUGACGGAGCAACGCCGCGUGAGUGAUGAAGGUCUUCGGAUCGUAAAACUCUGUUAUUAGGGAAGAACAUAUGUGUAAGUAACUGUGCACAUCUUGACGGUACCUAAUCAGAAAGCCACGGCUAACUACGUA
RNAcentral lists this ribosomal RNA (497 nucleotides) under uncultured bacterium. Its description in RNAcentral is "partial 16S ribosomal RNA". It matches the Rfam family "Bacterial small subunit ribosomal RNA", at positions 28 to 507 of the family's 1533-position model. The record is from RNAcentral.